GGGUGAGCGCCGGGCCCGCCGGUCAGCCGUCUUCCCCAGCUCCUCCAACAUGCUUUAUUCUGAAAGGUCCAAGCAUCUGCCAAACAGAGGAGGUGGUGGGAAACCUUUCCACUCGGACAAGAAAUGCCAAUAGAAAAUGCCACAGAAGCUCAUUGUAAUGAGGUCCUACCCAUCGGUAAUCUCCACUCCAAGAAAUACAUACUUUCAUCUGCUCCCAAGUUUUCCAAAAGAUUAGUAGCCUCAGUGGUAAAAGGAAGUACCCACAGAUCGUCAUCUCGUUUUUGAGAGCCAUUCAGAAAGAAAGAGACAUACUACAGGCUUGAGACCAGGAACAGAUUGAAUUCAUAAAAAAAAAAAAAGGCACAAGCCAAACUGUUCAUCUCUGGUACAUGAAAAAUUACCACUGUUGUUGUUAAAACCAUAUGUUCUAGGUAAGGGGACAGGUUUUGUAUUCACUCUGACAUUUGUUCUGAGGAAUGUUAAUGUACUUAAUGCUCGUAUGUGCUUAGCAGCCAUUUGCAAAUUUGAAAAGUAACCCAAAGUUCAAAAAAAAAAAAAAAAUGAGUGAGGAGGAUAAAGAAAACUCCUCUGCGAUGUUUCCCGGGGAUCGCUGUGUCUGCACGUGAGAGUAGAAGUGAGGACCUGUGACACUUGUCAUUAUCUCAGAGCUUUAGGUACGGCUUGAAGAGACAAAUCCCUCACCUGAAGCCACGGCUUCCGAUGUUCAUGAAUCAGCAGGAAAAUUCACUUUGGAAGCCAGGAGGAUUUGAAGCAGCUGCUCGAUGAGACAAAGGACCCGGCUGGCCCCCAGACACCCCCGUUCCCUUUCAGUCUUCUACCCUAGCAUGUUUAUACGUCUCAGGGAAGCACAUUUCCUUCAUAAUUGCAACCCUGUGAUCUGCUCUCCCACAGGGCCAAAAGCAAGCAACUGUCACUCUC
Long non-coding RNA from Lutra lutra (Eurasian river otter), 939 nucleotides. RefSeq lists it as uncharacterized. The record is from RefSeq and is a predicted model, not a curated record. The transcript has 3 exons. Lineage: Eukaryota; Metazoa; Chordata; Mammalia; Carnivora; Mustelidae.